Molecule: non-coding RNA, 810 nt
Organism: Tetranychus urticae (two-spotted spider mite)
Lineage: Eukaryota; Metazoa; Arthropoda; Arachnida; Trombidiformes; Tetranychidae
Source: RefSeq, a predicted model, not a curated record
AAAAGAGAAAUUGAGAAACAAAUUAAUAUCUCAUUAAUAUUACAGGAAAGAGACAAGGAAUAGUAUCAAAAACUUCAGUGACAGAGUAAAAUAAUGGCUUUGUGAUGGAAAUACAUUUAUUUAAGCUAAUAAGAUGAAAGCUGAUAAGAUGAAAUAAGCCUUAAUAAAAAGGUAAAUCACCCAGGACUAAUUAAACUCUCAAGUGAAUAAAGCUAUCAUCUGAUAAUUGAUUUUUUUCAAUAAUGACAUCGUACUCGAAUAAUCAACUGAAUCAAAUUGACUUUUCUCGAUGGAAGAUCAUUUUAAUCGGAUCAAACAGUUAACAAGUCAUUUACUGUAAUGAAUAAAUGAAAUAAAAAUAAAGAUUCUGUCUUGUGUUUGUCUUUUUUGCUACUGCAAGGAUUGUUACUUUGCUAAUUAAGCUUUAAUUCUGUGAAAUUAAUUAUUGUAACAUCAAAGUAAUUUGGAACUAAGUGAAUGGAUGCAUUUGUGAUUCAUUAAUUAACCCAGGACUAUUUAAAACUAGUUGAUUUAUGGAUCAUUGAAUUUGCAGCUGAACUUUGCGAUUGAAAUACAAAGUUAACGAUAAUAAACAUGCAACAAUAACCUUUCUGUGGUCUUUGAAUAUUGAUUGAAAGACAUUUUCCAAUAAAACAAUACAUAAACAAUAAAGUAACUUAUGAUAUUAAGAUUUGAUAUUUAACUUACCGCAAGGAGCAAUUAAUGGACAAGAAAGGCUGUAUGUUACAACCAUACAAAAAAUAAGCAGAAAUCUUGGAUAACGAAUGCCAAAUUGAAAAUCAAAGAUUA